UCGUGCUAGAUGGGGAGGUAGCGGUGCCCUGUACCUGCAAUCCGCUAUAGCAGGGUUGAAUUCCUGCCUCAGGCAUGUUUUUGUAUGGUCUGCCCUAUGUAAGUGGCAAUGAAAAUCGGGUCCUGCGCAAUGAAAACCCAUGAACCCCGUCAGGUUCGGAAGAAAGCAGCGGUAAGUGGGCACUUUCAUGUGCCGCGGAAAUGCCUGGUUUGAGUUAACUGCAUAGGUAACGCUUGUAGGAACUUGUCAAAGGCAGGUGCACGA
Molecule: non-coding RNA, 264 nt
Rfam family: Bacterial large signal recognition particle RNA
About the family: The signal recognition particle (SRP) is a universally conserved ribonucleoprotein involved in the co-translational targeting of proteins to membranes.
Source: Rfam